RNAcentral lists this ribosomal RNA (403 nucleotides) under uncultured bacterium. RNAcentral describes it as "bacterial SSU rRNA". It matches the Rfam family "Bacterial small subunit ribosomal RNA", at positions 355 to 776 of the family's 1533-position model. The record is from RNAcentral.
UGGGGAAUUUUGCGCAAUGGGGGAAACCCUGACGCAGCAACGCCGCGUGCGGGAUGACGGCCCUCGGGUUGUAAACCGCUUUCAGCAGGGAAGAUAUUGACGGUACCUGCAGAAGAAGCUCCGGCUAACUACGUGCCAGCAGCCGCGGUAAUACGUAGGGAGCGAGCGUUAUCCGGAUUCAUUGGGCGUAAAGCGCGCGUAGGCGGCUGCCUAAGCGGAACCUCUAACCCCGGGGCUCAACCUCGGGCCGGGUUCCGAACUGGGCGGCUCGAGUGCGGUAGAGGAGAGCGGAAUUCCCGGUGUAGCGGUGGAAUGCGCAGAUAUCGGGAAGAACACCGAUGGCGAAGGCAGCUCUCUGGGCCGGCACUGACGCUGAGGCGCGAAAGCUGGGGGAGCGAACAGG